This is a small nucleolar RNA of Microtus oregoni (creeping vole), 208 nucleotides long. RefSeq annotates it as small nucleolar RNA U3. NCBI's taxonomy places the organism in Eukaryota, Metazoa, Chordata, Mammalia, Rodentia, Cricetidae. The transcript has a single exon. The record is from RefSeq and is a predicted model, not a curated record.
AAGACUAUACUUUCAGGGUUCGUUUCUGUAGUUCAUUAAUAUAAAUACUUAAAAAAAAUAAAAAAGGAAGCAGUAUCUGCUGGAAAAGAGCUCCCAUGCUAAGACCGGCCAGCUCAGUACGGCCCUACAGGACUCAUUCCCUGCCUGUGUAUGCUGUCCUGGCCCAACCCUGGGCAGUGGCAGGGGUUGGGCAUUAUCGCUGAGCAGC